UGAACGCUAGCGACAGGCUUAACACAUGCAAGUCGAGGGGCAGCACAGGUAGCAAUACCGGGUGGCGACCGGCGCACGGGUGAGUAACGCGUAUGCAACUUACCUAUCAGAGGGGGAUAACCCGGCGAAAGUCGGACUAAUACCGCAUGAAGCAGGGGCCCCGCAUGGGGAUAUUUGCUAAAGAUUCAUCGCUGAUAGAUAGACAUGCGUUCCAUUAGGCAGUUGGCGGGGUAACGGCCCACCAAACCGACGAUGGAUAGGGGUUCUGAGAGGAAGGUCCCCCACAUUGGUACUGAGACACGGACCAAACUCCUACGGGAGGCAGCAGUGAGGAAUAUUGGUCAAUGGCCGAGAGGCUGAACCAGCCAAGUCGCGUGAGGGAUGAAGGUUCUAUGGAUCGUAAACCUCUUUUAUAAGGGAAUAAAGUGCGGGACGUGUCCCGUUUUGUAUGUACCUUAUGAAUAAGGAUCGGCUAACUCCGUGCCAGCAGCCGCGGUAAUACGGAGGAUCCGAGCGUUAUCCGGAUUUAUUGGGUUUAAAGGGUGCGUAGGCGGCCUUUUAAGUCAGCGGUGAAAGUCUGUGGCUCAACCAUAGAAUUGCCGUUGAAACUGGGGGGCUUGAGUAUGUUUGAGGCAGGCGGAAUGCGUGGUGUAGCGGUGAAAAUGCAUAGAUAUCACGCAGAACCCGGAUUGCGAAGGCAGCCUGCCAAGCCAUUACUGACGCUGAUGCACGAAAGCGUGGGGAUCAAACAGGAUUAGAUACCCUGGUAGUCCACGCAGUAAACGAUGAUCACUAGCUGUUUGCGAUACACUGUAAGCGGCACAGCGAAAGCGUUAAGUGAUCCACCUGGGGAGUACGCCGGCAACGGUGAAACUCAAAGGAAUUGACGGGGGCCCGCACAAGCGGAGGAACAUGUGGUUUAAUUCGAUGAUACGCGAGGAACCUUACCCGGGUUUGAACGCAUUCGGACCGAGGUGGAAACACCUUUUCUAGCAAUAGCCGUUUGCGAGGUGCUGCAUGGUUGUCGUCAGCUCGUGCCGUGAGGUGUCGGCUUAAGUGCCAUAACGAGCGCAACCCUUGCCACUAGUUACUAACAGGUAAAGCUGAGGACUCUGGUGGGACUGCCAGCGUAAGCUGCGAGGAAGGCGGGGAUGACGUCAAAUCAGCACGGCCCUUACAUCCGGGGCGACACACGUGUUACAAUGGCGUGGACAAAGGGAAGCCACCUGGCGACAGGGAGCGAAUCCCCAAACCACGUCUCAGUUCGGAUCGGAGUCUGCAACCCGACUCCGUGAAGCUGGAUUCGCUAGUAAUCGCGCAUCAGCCAUGGCGCGGUGAAUACGUUCCCGGGCCUUGUACACACCGCCCGUCAAGCCAUGGGAGCCGGGGGUACCUGAAGUCCGUAACCGCGAGGAUCGGCCUAGGGUAAAACUGGUGACUGGGGCUAAG
This 1449-nucleotide ribosomal RNA is filed under the name uncultured organism. RNAcentral's name for it is "SSU rRNA". It matches the Rfam family "Bacterial small subunit ribosomal RNA". The record is from RNAcentral.